GCUGACCAGCUAGCCCACCCUAACAAAAACAACAACCCAAUAUAAAUAACCCCAAACACACUACUCCUCCUAUAAACAAACCAUUUUACCCCCCUAGUAUGGGCGACAGAAAAGGAACUAUUGGAGCGAUAGAGAAAGUACCGCAAGGGAACGCUGAAAGAGAAAUGAAAUAACCCAGUAAAGCCUAAAAAAGCAGAGAUUUUACCUCGUACCUUUUGCAUCAUGAUUUAGCUAGUACUACCCAAGCAAAGAGAACUUUAGUUUGGACCCCCGAAACUAGGUGAGCUACUCCAAGACAGCCUAUCAAUAGGGCAAACCCGUCUCUGUGGCAAAAGAGUGGGAAGAGCUUUGAGUAGAGGUGACAGACCUACCGAACCUAGUUAUAGCUGGUUGCCUGAGAAUUGGAUAGGAGUUCAGCCUCCAGGCUUCUCUAUUCACCGCGGUCUUACCCCUACCGAUGCACUAAAGAAGCCUAGAGAGUUAAUCAAAGGGGGUACAGCCCCUUUGAGACAAGAUACAACUUUUCCAGGAGGGUAAAGAUCAUAUUUACCCAAGGUAACAAUGCCCAGGUGGGCCUAAAAGCAGCCAUCCUUACAGAAAGCGUUAAAGCUCAAGCAUUACACCUUCCCACAUAUUCAGAUAACCAUAUCCCAACCCCCUAAUAUUAUCAGGCCAUCUCAUGCAUACAUGAGAGUGCACAUGCUAAUAUGAGUAACAAGAGAGCCUCCGCCUCUCUCCUUGCACACGUGUAAAUCGGAACGAACCCCCACCGAAACUUAACGGCCCCAAACAAAGAGGGCAAUGAACAACAAGUAAGCAACCAGAAAACCAUCCAAAAAACAACCGUUAACCCCACACUGGUGUGCCAUUAAGGAAAGACUAAAAGAAAAAGAAGGAACUCGGCAAACAUACCAAGCCUCGCCUGUUUACCAAAAACAUCGCCUCUUGCAAAAACAAAGAAUAAGAGGUCCAGCCUGCCCUGUGACUAUAUGUUUAACGGCCGCGGUAUUUUAACCGUGCGAAGGUAGCGCAAUCACUUGUCUUUUAAAUGGAGACCUGUAUGAAUGGCAUUACGAGGGCUUAACUGUCUCCUUUUUCUAGUCAGUGAAAUUGAUCUCCCCGUGCAGAAGCGGGGAUGUAACCAUAAGACGAGAAGACCCUAUGGAGCUUUAGACACCAAGGCAUAUCAUGUCAAACACCCCUAAACAAAGGACUAAACCAAAUGAAUCAUGCCCCCAUGUCUUUGGUUGGGGCGACCGCGGGGAAAUAAAAAACCCCCACGUGGAAUGGGAGUACUACCUCCUACAACCAAGAGCUGCAGCUCUAAAAAACAGAAUAUCUGACCAAUAAGAUCCGGCAACGCCGAUCAACGGACCGAGUUACCCUAGGGAUAACAGCGCAAUCCCCUUUUAGAGCCCAUAUCGACAAGGGGGUUUACGACCUCGAUGUUGGAUCAGGACAUCCUAAUGGUGCAGCCGCUGUUAAGGGUUCGUUUGUUCAACGAUUAAAGUCCUACGUGAUCUGAGUUCAGACCGGAGUAAUCCAGGUCAGUUUCUAUCUAUGAUAUGUUCUUUUCUAGUACGAAAGGACCGAAAAGAAGAGGCCAAUGCUAAAAGCACGCCUCACCCCUCCUAUUGAAAACAACUAAAAUAGGCAAAAGGGCAUACCCCUCCACGCCCAAGAUAAUGGCAU
This 1692-nucleotide ribosomal RNA is filed under the name Thunnus tonggol (longtail tuna). Its description in RNAcentral is "16S ribosomal RNA subunit". It matches the Rfam family "Bacterial large subunit ribosomal RNA". The record is from RNAcentral. Lineage: Eukaryota; Metazoa; Chordata; Actinopteri; Scombriformes; Scombridae.